This 1394-nucleotide ribosomal RNA is filed under the name Dechloromonas sp. IsoEc.22. RNAcentral's name for it is "bacterial SSU rRNA". It matches the Rfam family "Bacterial small subunit ribosomal RNA". Lineage: Bacteria; Pseudomonadati; Pseudomonadota; Betaproteobacteria; Rhodocyclales; Azonexaceae. The record is from RNAcentral.
CGAACGGCAGCACGGACUUCGGUCUGGUGGCGAGUGGCGAACGGGUGAGUAAUGUAUCGGAACGUACCUUUCAGUGGGGGAUAACGUAGCGAAAGUUACGCUAAUACCGCAUAUUCUGUGAGCAGGAAAGCAGGGGAUCGCAAGACCUUGCGCUGAUUGAGCGGCCGAUAUCAGAUUAGCUAGUUGGUGGGGUAAAGGCCUACCAAGGCUACGAUCUGUAGCGGGUCUGAGAGGAUGAUCCGCCACACUGGAACUGAGACACGGUCCAGACUCCUACGGGAGGCAGCAGUGGGGAAUUUUGGACAAUGGGGGCAACCCUGAUCCAGCCAUGCCGCGUGAGUGAAGAAGGCCUUCGGGUUGUAAAGCUCUUUCGGCCGGGAAGAAAUCGCAUCAGCUAAUACCUGGUGUGGAUGACGGUACCGGAAUAAGAAGCACCGGCUAACUACGUGCCAGCAGCCGCGGUAAUACGUAGGGUGCGAGCGUUAAUCGGAAUUACUGGGCGUAAAGCGUGCGCAGGCGGUUGUGUAAGACAGGCGUGAAAUCCCCGGGCUCAACCUGGGAACUGCGCUUGUGACUGCACAGCUAGAGUACGGCAGAGGGGGGUGGAAUUCCACGUGUAGCAGUGAAAUGCGUAGAGAUGUGGAGGAACACCGAUGGCGAAGGCAGCCCCCUGGGCCGAUACUGACGCUCAUGCACGAAAGCGUGGGUAGCAAACAGGAUUAGAUACCCUGGUAGUCCACGCCCUAAACGAUGUCAACUAGGUGUUGGGUGGGUAAAACCAUUUAGUACCGUAGCUAACGCGUGAAGUUGACCGCCUGGGGAGUACGGCCGCAAGGUUAAAACUCAAAGGAAUUGACGGGGACCCGCACAAGCGGUGGAUGAUGUGGAUUAAUUCGAUGCAACGCGAAAAACCUUACCUACCCUUGACAUGUCCAGAAGCCCGGAGAGAUUUGGGUGUGCCCGAAAGGGAACUGGAACACAGGUGCUGCAUGGCUGUCGUCAGCUCGUGUCGUGAGAUGUUGGGUUAAGUCCCGCAACGAGCGCAACCCUUGUCGUUAAUUGCCAUCAUUUAGUUGGGCACUUUAACGAGACUGCCGGUGACAAACCGGAGGAAGGUGGGGAUGACGUCAAGUCCUCAUGGCCCUUAUGGGUAGGGCUUCACACGUCAUACAAUGGUCGGUACAGAGGGUUGCCAAGCCGCGAGGUGGAGCCAAUCCCAGAAAGCCGAUCGUAGUCCGGAUUGCAGGCUGCAACUCGCCUGCAUGAAGUCGGAAUCGCUAGUAAUCGCGGAUCAGCAUGUCGCGGUGAAUACGUUCCCGGGUCUUGUACACACCGCCCGUCACACCAUGGGAGCGGGUUCCGCCAGAAGUAGGUAGCCUAACCGCAAGGAGGGC